RNAcentral lists this ribosomal RNA (520 nucleotides) under uncultured Glomeromycotina. RNAcentral describes it as "SSU rRNA". It matches the Rfam family "Eukaryotic small subunit ribosomal RNA", at positions 569 to 1091 of the family's 1831-position model. The record is from RNAcentral. Lineage: Eukaryota; Fungi; Glomeromycota.
AGCAGCCGCGGUAAUUCCAGCUCCAAUAGCGUAUAUUAAAGUUGCUGCAGUUAAAAAGCUCGUAGUUGAGUUUCGGGACCAUCAUGUCGGUCGUGCCUCGGUACGUACUGGUAUUGUUGGUUUCUCCCUUCUGACGAACCAUGAUGUCAUUUAUUUGGUGUUGUGGGGAAUCAGGACUGUUACUUUGAAAAAAUUAGAGUGUUUAAAGCAGGCUCACGCUUGAAUACAUUAGCAUGGAAUAAUGAAAUAGGACGUUUGAUUCUAUUUUGUUGGUUUCUAGGAUCGACGUAAUGAUUAAUAGGGAUAGUUGGGGGCAUUAGUAUUCAAUUGUCAGAGGUGAAAUUCUUGGAUUUAUUGAAGACUAACUACUGCGAAAGCAUUUGCCAAGGAUGUUUUCAUUAAUCAAGAACGAAAGUUAGGGGAUCGAAGACGAUCAGAUACCGUCGUAGUCUUAACCAUAAACUAUGCCGACUAGGGAUCGGAUGAUGUUAAUUUUUUAAUGACUCAUUCGGCGCCUUAC